GCACAUAUACCACGAGCAUCACAAGAUAUGUCAACAUACAUAUAGUCAUUAUCCAAAAUAGUCCAUACUUAGCAUCUCAUGCAUUCUUUUAGCAUUUAAUUUAUUAUGCAUCUCAUCUCAUUGGUAAGUAAUCUCAACUACAUAGUAUGUUUCAAGCAUUCAUAUCAUUAUGUAAGCCUACCAAUACAACUAUAUGCAUCAAUUAGAAAACCAUUACUCUUAGACAUAUAGGCGACCUAGUCGCUUCGGUGAGCACAACCCACCUCAUUUCGCAUUCCGAUUGCUUGUCGACACUUGCAAUCAGCCUCCAGCGGCACCCGGCACCCGGUUUGACCCGAUCUCUCGCGCGACCACCCGAACGGCCUCCAAUUCACGAUCCGAAAAUUAAAGGUCUUCGGUUAUGUGCCACGAUGCUUCAAAUCCGUUUUUAUGAGGUUACGAUAUCGCCUCGGCCCUCCAGGCGAAAACGAAGCCUAAACGUCUGUUUCUUUAAUAACUUCGCAACGACUCCACGAAUCGCCGAACCGACUUCGCCAACGCGUUCGUUUACCUAGCAAUUAAGUUUACGAAGGGUCAAAUUAGAUCAAACCUCCAUAUUUUACAAAACUCCAUUUUUGAGCCCUAACAUGAAUUAACCUCCAAAUAAUCCAAAUUAAAUGGAGCAAUAUGCUAACAAUGCUCAUUAGAGGCUAUUAGAACACUUAAAGCUAAGGAUUAAGCCAAAUUCCAAAAGCUUACUACAAUGUGAACGCCGCGACGAAAACACGCCGCUCCAACGGGCGCACGAAAGCUCGAUCCGUCGCUCCCAACGCGUUCGCGAGCAUCUUCUCCACCAACGCCGCGAAUUUGAGCGAGAGAUUUGGAGAGAUAAGAGAGAAAUCUACAGAGAGAAGGGAGGGUUUUUCCUCUCCCUCCAUGCGUGCGUGAGUGGUAGGGUGGGCUGGUCGGUUGAGGAAGAAGAAGCAUCAGCUUCUUUAAUAACUACACCCUUCAACACUAUUCACUCCAGGGCAGUUUAGCAGUUCGGAACAGUUGGAGCCCUUCUGAGUGUCCGUUUGAGCUCAAAUUUGACAGGCAGGCUCGGUUUAAUGUACUGAGUAAGAAUAUAUCUUAAGUUUUCAGUUUCGACCCCGUUUGAUCACUGAAAACUGUACCGAACUGUAAUCUUUAUCAGAUAACUGUCGGAUUUUAUUUCUCACUUUCCGGGUGUCAGAAAAAUAUGAAACUUUAAAUCUAGUCUCAUAAAAAUAUUUCUGACCUAUCCUCCAAUUUUCAUAAUUUUCUGAGACUAUACAUUUUCUGCUAAUUUAUCUGUCCCGUUUCUAACAGAAAAUUUUAGAUCUCCUGUUUUCAUUCUGAUCUCAGCACAGGUCAUUUCUGACUUAUGUUUUACUCUUCUAAAUCCAAUAAAAAUAGUAUCACACACUAUUUUUAUUUAUUUUUAUUUUUAUACCAAAAUCUGGUAUGUUACAUUCUCCACCCCUUAAAAAGAAUUUUGUCCGCGAAAUUCAAAUCACGGCUCAAUUCAUCUCCGCGAACAAUUGAGGGUACCAACUCAUUCUUCCACUCCAAAGCGGCUCCACACCAUCGUGUUUCUAAAAGCGGCUCACUCCAAAGGACAUAGGUUUAAUAUUAAACUCAUUUGCAAAGUGUGAUGCAAGAGUGCAUCACGGUCUUGCAAGUCAUAGUGGCAGCGCAAGUCGGUACUCAACGACUCUACGCGCUCCAACACCACUCGUCAUUCGGUACGCAAAAAACUCUUCUUUGCACUGGCUUUCCCCUUAGGGAAUGCCUCCCAAUUCGAUCACCGACAUUGCUUAAAAGCAAUAUCACCGGUGCAUCGCUCCGUCGCGAGUGCUCUAAAUUCGCAUUGACCCUCAACUUUAACGUGAGAUGGCCUAUCUUAGCACAUCCCCAAUUCCAAUCCUCCAACUCCACGUGGUUUACUACUAGCUCAAGGUCUCACCAAGAGCACUUCAUCUUCUGAUACCAUAUGCCACGGUCAACAUCGAACUAUUUUCGCAACGAGCUCAUGCGAGCGCCUUGUUUGUGAAUUCGAGCCAAACUCCUCGAUAAGGCUAUCCGCCAAAUCGCUCUCUUCGGUCUCCACAGGUGGACCAAAGGCCACCAAUCCUACGUAGGCCUACCGCUUAAACCUGUCUCAAUACGCAGCGUCUCUCGCUCGCAAAUGCAGACCUAAUCAUGAUCGGGCGAAAUUCUCACUUGGGAAUUCGCACAUACUCCAACCAGGAGCAACUAAAAUCCCAAACCGUUACAGAUUCCCGGGUUGGGUCACACUCGUACUCUCGGUAUACUAUCAAUCGCACGACAUGCUCUACCGAGCCACAAGUACCACUAUCGGCUACUAUGCACCUAACGCGAGUCGCCAGUCCCACGAGUGGUCCAUGGCACGCUUCACACCUAGCAUUGCUCAAGUGCUACUGCCAACUCACUCACUCGGCUGAACCCAGUUCACACUCCACGCGUAACUCUACUCGAACGUCACACGCCUCUAUAGCGCUCCACAGUAAGUCCAGCAUUAUGCAACUCUUGCCUACACUCGCCGACUUCACAAGCACGACCCUACUACCUCACAUCGGGGUACUACUAGGCCCACGUGCUAGCACUUGGCCACUAACCAAUUGUUUCGUCAACAGUGAUUCACUUUCGCUGUUAGACCCAUCAGAACGACAUCCGAAAUACUCGGACUACUCGGGUGUCCUUAAAUAUCACAGCUCAACUCUCGCAAUCUACUAAUUAAGUUGUUUUGAGAGUCGAUUAGCCACCUCUAUCUCUACCGCGAGUUUCACUUCUCGCCAAAGGUCACUACUAGCACUUCGUUAGUGCCAUCUGGCUCUAUACCUAUACUGGCAGGUACUACGCCCUCACAACACGAGCAUGCCCGGGUAUCUAUACUCACCCGUCCACUCGGUCUUCACUAUGCUCAUGCAUGGCAAUAGUAAUUAACCACAUAACCAUUGCAUGCAAUGCAUCAACUUCACAUCAUGCAAAACAUACAUUUGCAUCAAUAACUCAUACCUGCAACGACGUCGUCAGCAACAGGGUCCUCAACCUGGGUUGCGUAUCUACGGCCACCUGGCGCUCGCCGCGAACCUUUAGGUUGCAUUGUCCUCAACGCCCUCUCUCCCGACCAUGCCGCAGAUGGCACACCUGCAGGCCAUCCUAGAGAGAAAUAGGCUGUCGCCAGUGUCAGGCCCCGGCUGUCACUUUGCGGACACUCGUCCCGCGCACAGCCCGAUUGCCCACACCUGUAGCACUUGCCCUCUCACAGCUCGCAAUACUGUGGGUAACGAAAACACCCACAUACGACAUAUCUCACUAAGGACCGAAUACAGUAGGUCCCCGGAACUCGGAAUCACGAGCACGAACACAUUGCACUCACUUGAGAACUUGACGGACCAUCGAAUCCACUCGUUGGCCGUUCUAUUUCCCUUUUCCUUACAAUUGGACUCAUGCUCCCCUCGCACAAUUGCACUGCCUUAUUCUAUCCACAAGGCCUAAUCCUCAAACCUCCUCUAAUCCUCCUAUUUAGAAAAGCUCCUGGAGAGUGAGAGAAGAAAGAACAUGGAGUUGAAGGGGUACUCCUUGCUGUGAACAAGGAAAGAAGAGGUGUAGGGUUUAUACAAACCGCCACAACUGCAUUUAAACCCCCCCAGCAUUUCUCAUUUGCAGUAGAUCUCAACCUGCUGCCAGACCCAUUGUGUACCGGUACACGGGCUUUUGUACCGGUACAAAGCUGUGCAGAGGCAAACCCGAGAGCAACCUCCUCGGAUUUUACCAAAGGGUACCGGUACAAACCAGAGGUGUACCGGUACACUUCUGCAAAAACUUAAACCCGAGAGCAAUGCUCUUCUCGGGUUGCAGGGCUGUACCGGUGACAACAUGAUGGUUGUACCGGUACACUUUGCCCAGAAUGCUGGUUUUGAGCCGUUUUCGAUUCUAUUUCGCGACGGUCGAUGCUAAAACCUUCUUACCUCCUUUGAAACUCAUUUUUAACCCUUCCAACGUCGUUGAAAUGUCAAUUGGACUUUGUCCAACUAUUUCUCUCAACGCACUUUGGUCAAUUUGACUAAAGUUUGAUGUUUAUUUACCAAAAUUUCGGUACGUUACAUUCUCCCUUCCUAAAAGGAGUUUCGUUCUCAUUAUCCCGCACUAUGUCCAGGAUGCAAUUCACGACACGGGAGAAUUCCCGCUCGUAUUCCCUCACGGCGCGGUCUACCUGCCGCAGCUUCGAGAACCUUUCCUGAAGCUUUCUUUUCCAUCAUCAAGGGAGUAAACCGAGAAUACCGAUCCCCGAAACUCAUCCCAAACCACAGGAGGGAGACCAGGUAGUCGAUUCCACUCGACGCCUAUCCACCACAUCUUCGUCGCGACUCCCGGCCGUACUUAACGAGCCGUAACUGGUGCGAUCACUACUGAUCCCCCAACUCUUGGAGUCUCUUAACUCGCUCCUCCCGGCAUAUGGCAGCCUUCUGCUGACACUGCAUAAAUUCGGCUCAUUACCCCGCCACACACACGAGAGUGGCCAAUCACUCGCGAAAUCUCAAGUCUCCGCUCGUCUCAAAUUGCCCAGGGUCACCACUUGGCCCAUCCCACGCCGAUCUAAACGAAGAUCGCCGACGCAGUGUUAUCGCUUCCUAAAACGCGACAACUUUAUUAAUCCUCGACCUUCUAGGUCGAACACGAGACACUUAAUACCGACUCAAAUCGGGCGAAAGUUACACAAGGGCGUCUAUUCUCAUGACUCGGUUUCAUGUUGUGCGCGCCCAACAUGAACACCCUUUGUUGAGAAUAAACCUCUCCUUGAGUCUAGUCUACCUCAAACAUCCGCUUUAGAAGUUUACGACACAAUCCAAUCGAUUAACCUUUCGCCAAAAGGUACAAAUUCUCAUCUUUCACGAGCCUUAAUCUCCUAUGGUUUACUAUCCUAGGGUCUUCUAGAUCCAACUAAACCAUUUCUAUUAUUAUUUUUAUAUUCUUUUUAUUCUUUGAUACCAUCUUAUCUGUCACGCCCCGAGCCCGCAUAUUUGGCCGGUUUCGGGCACGCCGACAGACCGCCGAACGGACAGGGUUUCUCCGGUACCGUGGACAGAGUCUCCCCUAUACGUCCAAGGCGUCGCAAUUGAUACAAUGUACGAAGUUCCAACUAGAAACACAUUUCGAUCAAAAAUUGCAUAAGGAAGUAUCAAAAGCAUAAUCUAGUUGCUAUUACGAGCAUUCACAUUCACUAGAUACAUUUUACAUCACAAAUACUUAUUACAUUUAACUUCCAAAUACAAUCAAGAUUGUUACAACAUUGUUUAUUCUUUCCUUUUCUUUUCUUCUACAACCCUAGCUAGGCUGACUCGGGGUACCGCUAUCUCUGAUCUCGGUGGUAGGGCGCAAUCUAUGGAGCUACGCCCUCUCCUCACGCCGCCGCGCCGCUGACGUGGGAACCUGUACCCCCAAAAAUAACACGGGGGUGAGAACUAUAUGAAUAUAGUUCCCAGUGGGUACGACCACCCAAGGGAAGAGCUCGACCCACAUGUCCAAGGAGGCACUGCAACAUGUUAGUCCAACAAAUAUCCAACAGAUAUAUAUAUAUAUAUGCGAUAAUUGAAAUACAUGUCAUGCCUCACAACCAUGCAAUAUGAAAAUCAUGCGAUUUAUGCAACCAAUUAGUAGUUCAAUCGAUACUACUUUAAUCCUGCUAUUCAAAACUCAUUCUAUUGACUUCGAAAUUAUUCCGCUAUUUUAAAUUCAUAUCAAUUACAAUUCUGAUCAUAUGGUCUCAUUUACCUUUAUCAACUAUCCACCUGACUCGGUCUCGAGUCAAUCAUUCGCAGAGUAACGCGUAAAGCCGAGCUCGAGGCGAAGAACGU
RNAcentral lists this long non-coding RNA (5882 nucleotides) under Ananas comosus (pineapple). RNAcentral describes it as "long non-coding RNA (ACOM_LNC016997)". Lineage: Eukaryota; Viridiplantae; Streptophyta; Magnoliopsida; Poales; Bromeliaceae. The record is from RNAcentral.